Physella acuta is the source of this 311-nucleotide long non-coding RNA. RefSeq lists it as uncharacterized. NCBI's taxonomy places the organism in Eukaryota, Metazoa, Mollusca, Gastropoda, Physidae. The record is from RefSeq and is a predicted model, not a curated record.
UUGAAUUCUUGAAAGGCCAGACUGUCUGUUGAGAGAGGCUGAUCUCUUGUAUGGUUAGACUUGACAGUUGAGAGAGGCUAGUCUGUUGUACUGUUAGACUGGUCUGUUGUGAGAGGCUGGUAUCUUGAAAGAUAUCACUGAUCUUUUGUUGCAUCAUUUGCUUGAAGGCUAGAGAGAAUUUGCUGCUCAAUUGCAUCAACCCAGUCAUCACGAUCCUAAAAACGUUGACAAGCUGUAAAACCCGACUAACAAAAUAAACCCCCUAGGCCUGAGUAUUAAAGAUAUAGAUACUACCGUUCUCCACUUUUGUU